Molecule: transfer RNA, 70 nt
Filed under: Plagiorchis maculosus
Lineage: Eukaryota; Metazoa; Platyhelminthes; Trematoda; Plagiorchiida; Plagiorchiidae
Description: tRNA-Pro
Source: RNAcentral
UUUCAGCAUUGUAGUUUAAAAAGAAUACGGGUUUUGGGGAUUUGAGGUCUUUUUAUGAGCAUGCUGAAAU